This 609-nucleotide unclassified non-coding RNA is filed under the name Hevea brasiliensis (rubber tree). The record is from RNAcentral. Lineage: Eukaryota; Viridiplantae; Streptophyta; Magnoliopsida; Malpighiales; Euphorbiaceae.
AAAUACCUUAUCCCAAACCAAUGUGGAACAACAAUAACCAGAAGCACGAGACAAGUGAUGGUAUGUAAACAUGCACAAGCAAAUUGUAAAUAAUUCCAUUGGAUUAGUAGCCCAAUAAUCAAGUUUUGACAAGAAAAAUUCAUAAUCCUAUUUCACCUAGACUUGAGGAUUCUAUGGAUUACUGUAAAGUGGUCAGAGCUUAUGACAAAGGUCCUAAAGUAUGCGUGAAAACAAACAGAAAGCCCUUAUUUUACGGCCCAAUUGACCUAACCAUAAAAGAGAUCAUAAGAUUUGACAGAGCUACAAGAUGUAAUCAACAUAUUUUUUGCACCCAACUUAUGUCAGAUAAAACCAGAUAUACACCAACAAAACCUAAAUUUGACACACUUCCUAGUCCAAGAGAUAAACCUAAUGGCAUCAGAAUAAGCAUUCCUCUCUUAAGUUAUAUGGUUUAGCCAGCAUUCCUACUCUUUAAAAGACCUGAAUUUAGAGCUAUCAUUAAUUAGUAUAUGAUUCCUAAAGAACUUUGAUUAUGUUUAUUUAGCAUAACAAUUAUAAACAGGAAACAAUUAAAAGCAUAUUGCAUGCCAUAUGACAGAUGCCAACCAU